CGGGGGUGGGCGACGACAGAGGGAUGGGAACAACGGAAGAGGGCAGUCGGGAGAGUGUCGGUGGAGGGCAGCUUUGUGUCUGAAUUGGUCAUUUUGAAAGACAGUUGUAACACAGUCUAAUCAGAGAGCUCACGCCAAUGUAUUAGACCUGGCAAUCAAAAUCUGACUCCUGCUCCUGCUGAGAAGGGUGUGAAUGGAAAACUGUCCAUACAUACAAGAAGGAGAAUAUGGAUCAAGGACUACAUCAAUGAACCAAUGCGGUCCUUCAUCCGAAGGGUUUUUUUAACCUGCCCUAUAAACAUAUGGCCGACUUUCAGCCAGAUAUCGAUCGGGGAAGACUGUCGGAGGGCCCCAUACACUGGCCAAAAUUUAGUCUGUCGGCAGUUUAUAUAUGCCUGUCAGAGCUGGGCUAGGCAACCUGGCCGGCUGCGGCGAUAAACACAUGCUGAUAAAAUGCAAGUUGACUGCAGCAUAAAAAAUGUCGCCUUCUAAUGACACAGCAGUUUUCUCUGAAAAGGUUUUGCUUUCAUAAGCACUCAUUGGAUUACCACACACAUGCCCAGGCGGGGAUACAUUUUAGUUCUUUCAAUGAUUGUAGGACAGGAAAGGCAAAGUCCAGCUGAAAUACCUUGUGCAAUAAAAUUGUGCUAAUAAAAGAGACUGCUACUUUAAUCCACGUGUCAACAGAGGCAAUGCAGACAAUGAGUUGUAAAGGAAGAGGAUCGGAUGAACAGAACAUUUAUCACUGACAGUGUCACCUCUAUACAACAGAAAACAUAGCGUCUUCCCCAAAAUGUCAGGUUGCCAUAACUGAUAUAUACAGCUGGGGAGAAAUGACCAUUUAUCUGCUUCAUCGAAUAUGCUUUGUACUGGCAAUGUAUAUUGUUGCAUUAUUGUUCCUCACAAUCCAUUGAGCUCGAUACUAUAACAUACCCUGUUUAUGGUCUUACAAUUGGACCUGUGUAUAAUACCUGUGUAUAUUUACUAAACUCUGAAUUUAUCUGGUUGGGCUUUUUGGGGCAAAAGCUCGACUUUUUGUGGAAAAACAAACCUCGGAUUUUUCAAGAUUUAUUACACUUAGAUGCUGAAAAAAGCCUGAGUUCAAAAAUCCGCCAUCUCAGACACGUUGAGGUCCUGUAUAAGUCAAUGGGAGAAGCACCUAUCCCAAUUUAAAAGUAUCGUGGUUUGCGCUGGGUUUAGCCUGAAAAUCCCAAAAAUUUGGGGUUUUCGGGCAACAACCCAAAAAAAAAUUGACAAACUUUAUAUAAGGUAUAUAAAUAAUGUUAAAUCGGGCAUGGCAGUUUGGCCAUGGUGUUUUAAAUAAAAUAAUGAGAUAAACUUAGAAUUUGGUAAGUAACUUCUUAGUGAAAAUGCAUUGGCAGACAAUUUCAUGAAAUUACGUGAUUUAAAUAACAUACAAUUAACAUUUUUGGCAACAGCAA
Long non-coding RNA from Xenopus laevis (African clawed frog), 1442 nucleotides. RefSeq lists it as uncharacterized. The record is from RefSeq and is a predicted model, not a curated record. The transcript has 4 exons. Lineage: Eukaryota; Metazoa; Chordata; Amphibia; Anura; Pipidae.